Alosa alosa (allis shad) is the source of this 1473-nucleotide RNA transcript. RefSeq lists it as uncharacterized. The transcript is spliced from 8 exons. The record is from RefSeq and is a predicted model, not a curated record. NCBI's taxonomy places the organism in Eukaryota, Metazoa, Chordata, Actinopteri, Clupeiformes, Clupeidae.
GAAGGGGGUAAUCCCUCUUCUCUGUCAACAAAUAGGGAAUUCCUUUCUGAUUUCCAGUCUGCAUUCCCCGAGACUUUCACCCCCAUAUCUUAUCCACUCUUUUUAGACAAGAACCCCCUGUGUCUUAUAUGACCCAACCAUGGCCAGCAGUAUUCAGUCUGCCCACCUUCCCUCCUGAACUGCAAGCUGCUCUCCAGAGGAAAGAUCCUGCCUUUAAAAAGAAGGACAAAUCACAUAUACGGGCAUUAUUGAUUCAAGUGCUGUUUGAUAAUGUCACUAAACACACUUGGUAUCCCAGUCACAAAAUGUAUGGAGAUGUCCUGGGGAGUUUGAUUACAAAAUGUCCAUUCUUAAGAGAUGGCAGUUCAUCUGGACAUGAGACAUUGUUAGAGUGCUUCCGUAACAAAUUCAAGAAGGAAAGGAUUCCACUUGUGCACAACUCCACAGUCCUCCAAAUGAAAACAAAGUAUGGAACCAAAAAACGAAUGGUGGAGCAAACAUCCUAUGUGGACACUACCAUCGAACCUGAGCUGGCAAAAAGGAGAGAAGAAUUACUGUAUUAUUCAGCAUCACACAGUAACUCCAGUUCCUCGCUUGAGGUUUUAGAGCUGGAAGCAGUUGGAGAGGAUGACACCAGUUAUCAAGAGCACCUGAAUUUCAUCUUAAGGGAGUUGGCCAAGAAGCAACCAAAUUUGGCAGAAAUUAAAAUCAGGAUGAGGAGGACACUUUUUAAGCGCAUUGAAGCAAUGACUCCCAACAAAGAAAGUCAUGGAGAUUUUUCCAUUUCUUGGCAUCCCACAGCUAAUGCAUCAUGAAAUGCAAAUGAAAUUUGGGAUAGACAUGGACAGGAGCUUGCAAACUGCAAUACACGAGUUGGCCCCAAGAAUCAUCAGGGUGGUGAAGGAGGGCAGCCAGAAAAGGUUUUCACCCUCCCUCCUUGAGCCAACAAAUGAGAGAUUAGAAAAUGCUGCACUGCUGUUGCUGCCGGAACUCUUCAAGGAGAAAACAGAUACAUAGAUACUUUACACCGUGUUGAAGAUGAAGUCCACCCCUGCCCAACUGUCGUUUUCCAUGGCUCCCUCAAUGAGCUCAAGGCAGACACCAUCAGCAUCAGGCUCGAUGGACUAACAUUAACCACUGGGAAAAUGACCAUAGCCAUAGCCAUAGACCAUAGCCAUAGCACUCGAGUACCUCUUCAGCACUUAUGUCCUGUUCAAUGCAUCAUAUCCCGCCCCUCUUGUAAAUACUUUAACAUUCAUUCAGAUAUUUUUAUUCCAACACUGUCCUAACAAGAAAAAAAUCCCCAUCCCUGUUCUUAAAAUGUACAAACAUUUUAUGUCAUUUGAUUAAAUAUCCCCUUUAUUCCCUUGAUAAAUUAUAUCUUUCUAUCUUUCUUUCUUUUUUCUUAUACUGUAGCUUGUUACAAUAAAUUACUUCUUAAAACCUUUGUCUUGUUUCAUCAUUUUCAUGGCA